AAACAAUAUGUGUAUUAAUUUUUUACUAAAGUAGUAAUCAAUUGAAUAAAAGAAUUAAAUUUUGCAGAUACAUAGAUGACGAAGAUGUUAAUAGUUCUAAAGUUGGAAGUUGCAUAGAGCUUGAUUCGAAAUGGAUAAAAGACUUGCGUUCACUGCGCAACUCCCACGUGCGUCUCGUGCUUCGUCAGCUGCAGCAGCUUCAGGACAUUGAACGCCUUAGUCGUGUCCUUUGUUGCACAAAUUCGCCGCAAACGAGUAGUUCUUCAUGCCAAUUAGAUCUAACGGUGAGCGAUCGGUAAUUCAGGGAGCAGUUGAUAGAUUUUUGGGAUUAUUUAACUAACAGGAUUGAAGAAAAUAAUUUUUACUUAUUUUUGAUUUUGACUUCUGAGGAAAAUUGUUUCAACUUGCUUUUUUUAAUAAACCAUUUUGAAAU
RNAcentral lists this unclassified non-coding RNA (433 nucleotides) under Melitaea cinxia (Glanville fritillary). RNAcentral describes it as "misc RNA ENSMCXG00005013589.1". The record is from RNAcentral. Lineage: Eukaryota; Metazoa; Arthropoda; Insecta; Lepidoptera; Nymphalidae.